This 96-nucleotide transfer RNA is filed under the name Aureobasidium namibiae CBS 147.97. It matches the Rfam family "tRNA". Rfam says of the family: Transfer RNA (tRNA) molecules are approximately 80 nucleotides in length. Their secondary structure includes four short double-helical elements and three loops (D, anti-codon, and T loops). Further hydrogen bonds mediate the characteristic L-shaped molecular structure. tRNAs have two regions of fundamental functional importance: the anti-codon, which is responsible for specific mRNA codon recognition, and the 3' end, to which the tRNAs corresponding amino acid is attached (by aminoacyl-tRNA synthetases). tRNAs cope with the degeneracy of the genetic code in two manners: having more than one tRNA (with a specific anti-codon) for a particular amino acid; and 'wobble' base-pairing, i.e. permitting non-standard base-pairing at the 3rd anti-codon position. The record is from Rfam by way of RNAcentral. Lineage: Eukaryota; Fungi; Ascomycota; Dothideomycetes; Dothideales; Saccotheciaceae.
GCUCGUGUGGUCUAGUGGUAUGACAUCUCUCUCACAUAGUGUCUUGACAUUUAGUGGUUACAGAGAAGAUCCUGGGUUCGAUCCCCAGCAUGAGCA